Schistosoma rodhaini is the source of this 45-nucleotide non-coding RNA. NCBI's taxonomy places the organism in Eukaryota, Metazoa, Platyhelminthes, Trematoda, Strigeidida, Schistosomatidae. The record is from Rfam.
AUCCAGCUGACGAGUCCCGAAUAGGACGAAACGCGCAUCCUGGAU